This 465-nucleotide ribosomal RNA is filed under the name Comamonas aquatica. RNAcentral describes it as "bacterial SSU rRNA". It matches the Rfam family "Bacterial small subunit ribosomal RNA", at positions 338 to 795 of the family's 1533-position model. The record is from RNAcentral. Lineage: Bacteria; Pseudomonadati; Pseudomonadota; Betaproteobacteria; Burkholderiales; Comamonadaceae.
CCUACGGGAGGCAGCAGUGGGGAAUUUUGGACAAUGGGCGCAAGCCUGAUCCAGCAAUGCCGCGUGCAGGAUGAAGGCCUUCGGGUUGUAAACUGCUUUUGUACGGAACGAAAAGCCCUGGGUUAAUACCCUGGGGUCAUGACGGUACCGUAAGAAUAAGCACCGGCUAACUACGUGCCAGCAGCCGCGGUAAUACGUAGGGUGCAAGCGUUAAUCGGAAUUACUGGGCGUAAAGCGUGCGCAGGCGGUUUUGUAAGACAGAGGUGAAAUCCCCGGGCUCAACCUGGGAACUGCCUUUGUGACUGCAAGGCUAGAGUACGGCAGAGGGGGAUGGAAUUCCGCGUGUAGCAGUGAAAUGCGUAGAUAUGCGGAGGAACACCGAUGGCGAAGGCAAUCCCCUGGGCCUGUACUGACGCUCAUGCACGAAAGCGUGGGGAGCAAACAGGAUUAGAUACCCUGGUAGUC